This is a long non-coding RNA of Bufo bufo (common toad), 2698 nucleotides long. RefSeq lists it as uncharacterized. The record is from RefSeq and is a predicted model, not a curated record. Lineage: Eukaryota; Metazoa; Chordata; Amphibia; Anura; Bufonidae. The transcript has 2 exons.
UUGAAAAAUGAAUGAAUGAAUAAGCAAUACCGGGGGCAUGUAAGUAACGCUAUGUCUUUAGUUUAACUUUCAUUUUCAGGUGAAAGGUCCUCUUUAAAUAAUAGUUUCAUGGCAACGGCGAAUGCAUUCGUAAUUUGUUUUUUCAAUGUUUUGUAUGAUUAUUUGCGUAUAGCAUACUAAUGUAUUGGAGGAGAGCCAUCGACUCUCCUACUGCAUCAACCUGCCAUCUAUUCCACCUGGACGGCAGAAGCAGGUGCUGUUUAGAGGUCUGUAUGGCCGGUUUGAAGGGUAGGUUCUGUUGGGUUGAGAGUUGCCUUGGCUAAUUAAUGUACUUGUCCGAGAUCAUUUUUCCAGUGACAGUGCCUGGUAUUUUAGCUCAGCCUCAUUCACUCACAGCUGCAAUACCGAACACUUCCUUAUGACAAGAGUGGCACUGUUUCUGGGGGGAAAAAAAGUAGACCCAGCAAUAAUAGAGGGGUUGUUCAAACUGGACACCUCCUUUUAUCACAUAAUCACAUCAUUUUCCAUCGAUAACCUGCCUUACCAGAUACCAUCAGGACGCCUAGUGUCAUGCAGCACAUAUGACCACAAUGGGAUAUCAAAUGAUCUAGUAGCAAAAUGAAGAGUAGGCUAAAGUGAUCGUCCAAAUACAUUACCUUCUGUGCAAAACUGGCCACCUUUGAAUGUGUUUUUGUUGCUUUCUGUCAGGAUUAAAAAGAUAACGCUUACAGGUCUAGCUGUCAGGCAGCUCCUCUGACAGAUUUCACUGUGAAAGGGACUGAGCAGCCUGGAAUGUAUGUGAAAAGGGGCAGGCUUCAGUGGACAAAUAGAUGACAUUAAAAAAAAAAGAUCUAUUGGAAAAAUUGUGUUCUUUUAGCCCAAAAUAAGUGGAGUAACAAUACAAAAUGCAUUUAAGGGUGUCCAUAGCAUUUAAUGCAGAUUGCUCCCAUGUUUACAAGGGCCAAUGAUCAAGUAUGAGCAUUUUUUUUUAUGAAUACUUGAUUGGGCAAUUAAUAGCCUGUGUAAAAAGGGCUUAAAGGCUAUGUAGACCUUCAGAGGCAAAUUUUUUUUAAUGAUUGAAUUUAACUCAUUUUGGGCGAAUUUUUUUUUUUUCAAUUGGUCUUUAUUUAAAAAAAUAUUGAGCUGUUCUGUCACAAAGGGUUAACUGUUUAGCUGUGUGAGUGGUACUUUUUACUUUCACUUUGUACUUGUCAUCUAAUAACCUUUAUUUCUAAUUUACUAAGAGGUCAUAAACACUAACCGUAAUAUAAGAACUGAGCUAUAAUGAGUGUUUAUAAUGUUAGAGAGCAGAGAUAAGGCCAUUUGAAAAAAGGAUUUUUUAGCUAAAAAUGAGUAAACUGCAAUCAUUAAAAAAAAUUGCCUCCGAAGGUGUACAUAGACUUUAAAAAGGUUUAACAGCUUUAUCCAGCAAUGUACAUUUUAUGCCUUGGAUUCUUGGUCAUCCUUUGCAACUAUUCUUCAAGCUGUCAUAACCAGAAGAUCAGUAAAAAAAAUAAGGUAGUAAACCUAUCAUUUUGGUAUAAAAAGGAAAUCACUAAAUGAUGGCAAUUCUUCCCAGUUAAAGGGGUUAUACAAAAUAAAUAAAAAAGUCUGCCUUUCUGGUAUUUUAGUUCAUCCUCAUUAAAAUGGUUUCCAGUCUUUCAUUUACAGUCAAAAAUAAUUGGCUGGUGCCAAUUUAUAUUUGUUAGGCUGGGUUCACAUCUACUGUGUAGGUUCAGCUUAAGGUUUCCCUUUGAAGGGCUGUUGGAUAGACCGUUAUUUCAGGAAGGUGGGUGUUCUGCCAUGCUUUCUGCAUUACCAUACUGACACUUAGGUUCCAUCGUUCAUUACGGAGGUUUAGAUACACGAGCGAUCAUCUUGUCUUAAGGUCAUGUGCAUUAAGCGAAGGAGUUCCCUACUCCAGAAACCCCAUUUAUAAAGAUCUGAAAACCAAAGUAGUCUUUAAAGGCUAUGGAAAUCUUUGGGGCAAUUAUUUUUAUGACUGCAUUUUACCUAUUUUGAGCUAAAUAUUAUUUACUAACUGGACAUUAUUAAAAAUGUCUGGUGGUUGCAGUUAAAAAUCAGUCUAUUUAGACUGUUCCUCGGGAGUUCCAUCAGUGGAAGGCUCUUGUGAAGCCUUAUCUCUGAUCUCCUGACCUCAUAAACUCUUAUGAAACUGAUAAGAAUUAGAUGCAAUGAUAAAAUAAAUUCUCCCGAAGGUGUCCAUAGCCUUUAAUUCUCCAGUGGUUGAUAUGUUGCAUAUGUGAAAGUUGUGUUACAUUGCUCCUAAAUAUAUGAUAACUGUUCAUAUGAAUGGCAGUGGAGGCAGAUGUUACCCCAGUACCAGUUUGUAGCCAGUGCGUGGCAUGCCCUCGUUUUAUAAGUACGGUAGACAGAUUGAUCUCUUUAUUUUUUCAUCCACAAAAGUGACAAGAUGGUUUGUUAAUGAUAGAGAUAUAUUUAUUACCUGCAUAAUUGGGUGUUUUUCUAUUGUGUUCUUUUGCUGCUGAUUGUUAACUUACUGAUGUUCCUUUAAAGGGGUUGUCUAAGAUUAGAAAAAGGGUUCUGUUUUUUUUUUGAGAAGCCACACCAUUGAAAGGAUGCCUCCAGGUUGCAGCUCAUCCCCAUUCAAAUCAAUGUGAAUGAACUGCAAUACCAGACACGACCUGAGGGCAAAGUGGCGUUGUUUGAAAAAAAA